AACGCGAAGAACCUUACCUGGCCUUGACAUCCUGGGAACCCUGCAGAGAUGCGGGGGUGCCUUCGGGAACCCAGAGACAGGUGCUGCAUGGCUGUCGUCAGCUCGUGUCGUGAGAUGUUGGGUUAAGUCCCGCAACGAGCGCAACCCUUGUCCUUAGUUGCCAGCAUUCAGUUGGGAACUCUAAGGAGACCGCCGGUGACAAACCGGAGGAAGGUGGGGAUGACGUCAAGUCAUCAUGGCCUUUAUGGCCAGGGCUACACACGUGCUACAAUGGUAGGAACAGAGGGAAGCCAACGCGCAAGCGGGAGCCAAUCCCAGAAAACCUAUCGUAGUCCGGAUUGGAGUCUGCAACUCGACUCCAUGAAGUUGGAAUCGCUAGUAAUCGCAGAUCAGCAUUGCUGCGGUGAAUACGUUCCCGGGCCUUGUA
This 427-nucleotide ribosomal RNA is filed under the name uncultured Gammaproteobacteria bacterium. Its description in RNAcentral is "bacterial SSU rRNA". It matches the Rfam family "Bacterial small subunit ribosomal RNA", at positions 958 to 1385 of the family's 1533-position model. Lineage: Bacteria; Pseudomonadati; Pseudomonadota; Gammaproteobacteria. The record is from RNAcentral.